RNAcentral lists this ribosomal RNA (465 nucleotides) under Vreelandella stevensii. RNAcentral describes it as "partial 16S ribosomal RNA". It matches the Rfam family "Bacterial small subunit ribosomal RNA", at positions 338 to 795 of the family's 1533-position model. Lineage: Bacteria; Pseudomonadati; Pseudomonadota; Gammaproteobacteria; Oceanospirillales; Halomonadaceae. The record is from RNAcentral.
CCUACGGGCGGCAGCAGUGGGGAAUAUUGGACAAUGGGGGGAACCCUGAUCCAGCCAUGCCGCGUGUGUGAAGAAGGCCCUCGGGUUGUAAAGCACUUUCAGUGAGGAAGAACGCCUGGUGGUUAAUACCCAUCAGGAAAGACAUCACUCACAGAAGAAGCACCGGCUAACUCCGUGCCGGCAGCCGCGGUAAUACGGAGGGUGCGAGCGUUAAUCGGAAUUACUGGGCGUAAAGCGCGCGUAGGUGGCUUGAUAAGCCGGUUGUGAAAGCCCCGGGCUCAACCUGGGAACGGCAUCCGGAACUGUCAAGCUAGAGUGCAGGAGAGGAAGGUAGAAUUCCCGGUGUAGCGGUGAAAUGCGUAGAGAUCGGGAGGAAUACCAGUGGCGAAGGCGGCCUUCUGGACUGACACUGACACUGAGGUGCGAAAGCGUGGGUAGCAAACAGGAUUAGAUACCCUAGUAGUC